RNAcentral lists this microRNA precursor (97 nucleotides) under Equus caballus (horse). RNAcentral describes it as "mir-9058 microRNA precursor family". It matches the Rfam family "mir-9058 microRNA precursor family". The record is from Rfam by way of RNAcentral. Lineage: Eukaryota; Metazoa; Chordata; Mammalia; Perissodactyla; Equidae.
GUGGCUGCCCGCUGGGUGCCUUCUACUGGUGCUGUGCAGAGGCUUUCCCUAAGGCUGCUGUGAGCCUGUAGGGUUUCCCCGUAGACUACGGAGCUGG